Molecule: ribosomal RNA, 381 nt
Filed under: uncultured euryarchaeote
Lineage: Archaea; Methanobacteriati; Methanobacteriota
Description: bacterial SSU rRNA
Rfam family: Archaeal small subunit ribosomal RNA
Source: RNAcentral
UAACACCAGCGCCACAAGUGGCAACCGCUUUUAUUGGGCCUAAAGCGUCCGUAGCCGGUUCAGUAAAUUUUCUGUGAAAUCGUUGGGCUUAACCUAACGUCGUGCAGGAAAGACUACUGGACUAGGGACCGGGAGGCGUCAGAGGUAUUCCUGAGGGAGCGGUAAAAUGCUAUAAUCUCAGGAGGACCACCGAUGGCGAAGGCAUCUGACGAGAACGGAUCCGACGGUCAGGGACGAAAGCUAGGGGAGCAAACCGGAUUAGAUACCCGAGUAGUCCUAGCUGUAAACUCUGCGAGCUAGGUGUUACGUAUUCUUCGGGAAUACGUAGUGUCGAAGCGAAGGUGUUAAGCUCGCCGCCUGGGAAUUAUGGUCGCAAGACUG